Long non-coding RNA from Erinaceus europaeus (western European hedgehog), 1572 nucleotides. RefSeq lists it as uncharacterized. NCBI's taxonomy places the organism in Eukaryota, Metazoa, Chordata, Mammalia, Eulipotyphla, Erinaceidae. The record is from RefSeq and is a predicted model, not a curated record. The transcript has 3 exons.
UAGAGGCGAUGUGUUCUUUUUGAUGAUUUUGUUUUGCGACAUUGUAUCCAUGUAAAAUCUCCAGGGUAAGGAAAAUGAUGACAGACUCGUUGUAUUUCAUGUGUCAUACUUAAGAUAAACUUUUGAGUGUCAGUUGUGUUUUGUAAGACCUGCUAGCAACCACCUCUAUUUCUUGUCUCCUUUGCCUGUUUCUUAUUUUUACACAGUUUAGUUCAUUCAGCUAGGCUUUAUUCCCAAACCAUAAACUUUAAGGGCUGAAAUAUCAAAAUGUGUGUUCUCCUAUGCCUGGAGAAGCCAUUAUUUCCUGCUGCCUCAUUUCAGUUUGUAUCAUCCAGGAAUACAAACUAAGUUGAGGUAGCUCUUUUUUUUUUUUUUUUGCCUCCAGGGUUAUUGCUGGGGCUCGGUGCUUGCACUACAAAUCUACUGUUCCUGGAAGUUCUCCCACCCCCCUUUUGUUGCCCUUGGUGUUUCUUACUGUUGUUGUUAUUGCUGUCCUUGUUGUUGCAUAGGACAGAGAGAAAUAGAAAGAGGAAGGGAAGACAGAAGGGGAGAGAAAGAUAGACACCUGCAGACCUACUUCGCCACUUGUGAAGCAACCCUACUGUGAAGGGGCCAAGAAGAGGCAAGGUAGUGGUGCUUUGCCACCCAUGGAGUUGUCCCAUUAUGCCAUGCAUGAUGUUCCAUGUGUUAAGAAGACCCUAGAGCCUGGAAGGUUAUAUGUUCUAUCAGCCACCAGGUUCCAGAUGCUAGUAGAAUGCGGACCAGACUUCCUUGGACAGACAACCCCACCAAUGUGUCCUGGAGCUCCGAUUCCCCAGAGCCCUACCCCACUAGGGAAAGAGAGAGAGAGACAGGCUGGGAGUAUGGAUCAACCUGUCAAUGCCCAUGUUCAGCAGGGAAGCAAUUACAGAAGCCAGACCUUCCACCUUCUGCAUCCCACAGUGACCUUGGGUCCAUAUUCCCAGAGGGUUGAAGAAUGGGAAAGCUAUCAGGAGAGGGGAUGGGAUACAGAGUUCUGGUGGUGGGAAUUGUGUGGAGUUGUACCCCUCUUAUCUUAUGGUUUUGUCAACUUUUCCUUUUCAUAAAUAAAUAAAUGAAAUUUUUUCUUUCUCCUUUCUUUCUUUUUUUUUUUUUUUUUUUUUUGUCUGCAGGGUUUUCGCUGAGACUUUGUGUCUGCACCGUUAAUCCUCUGCUCCUAUAGCCAUGUUUUCAAUUUUUUUUUCUUGGCCAGAACAGAGAGAAAUUGAGAGGGAAGGGGAAGAUAAAGAGGGAGACAGAAAGAUAAACACCUGCUUCAGUGUUUGUGAAACAACCCCUCCAUCCCCACAGGUGGAAGGCCGGAGGCUCAAACUGGGAUCCUUGUGUGAGUCCUUGUUCUUUGUACUAUGUGCACUUAACCAGGUGCACCACCACCAGGCCCCCAUCGCUCAAGUUGUUUGACCCAGUUCUUUCAGCUGAUUUACAGAGGUCAAGGAGUGAUUCUGUUAUCAAGAGACAUUACCACUGCCAACUUUGCUUUUACCACAAUAGCAUAUACUAAGCAUCAAGUCAUUGGGGAAAAAAGAGAGAGAG